This 716-nucleotide ribosomal RNA is filed under the name fungal sp. FCAS89C. RNAcentral's name for it is "SSU rRNA". It matches the Rfam family "Eukaryotic small subunit ribosomal RNA", at positions 49 to 764 of the family's 1831-position model. The record is from RNAcentral. Lineage: Eukaryota; Fungi.
CCAUGCAUGUCUAAGUAUAAACAACUCUAUACUGUGAAACUGCGAAUGGCUCAUUAAAUCAGUUAUAGUUUAUUUGAUGGUACCUUACUACAUGGAUAACUGUGGUAAUUCUAGAGCUAAUACAUGCUGAAAAGCCCCGACUUCUGGAAGGGGUGUAUUUAUUAGAUAAAAAACCAAUGGCGGGUAACCGUCUUGCGUUGAUUCAUAAUAACUGCUCGAAUCGCAUGGCCUUGCGCCGGCGAUGCUUCAUUCAAAUAUCUGCCCUAUCAACUUUCGAUGGGAGGGAUAGAGGCCUACCAUGGUGAUGACGGGUAACGGGGAAUAAGGGUUCGAUUCCGGAGAGAGGGCCUGAGAAACGGCCCUCAGUCCUAAGGGACGCAGCAGGCGCGCAAAUUAUCCCAUCCCGACACGGGGAGAUAGUGACAAUAAAUAACAAUAUAGGGCUCUUUUGGGUCCUAUAAUUGGAAUGAGUACAAUUUAAAUCCCUUAACGAGGAUCAAUUGGAGGGCAAGUCUGGUGCCAGCAGCCGCGGUAAUUCCAGCUCCAAUAGCGUAUAUUAAAGUUGUUGCCGUUAAAAAGCUCGUAGUCGAACUUCGGCCUCUGCCGCCCGGUCCGCCUAAUUGGGUGUGUACUGGAGCGGUGGAGGCUUACCUCGUGGUGAACGGCCAUGCCCUUUACUGGGUGUGGUCGGGAACCAUGACUUUUACUGUGAAAAA